ACUUGAUGAUUACCUGUUCUGUUCAUUACCUCUGGGGCACCUGGCAUUGGCCACUGUUGGUAGACAGGAUACUGGGCUAGAUGGACCUUUGAUCUGACCCAGUAUGGCCGUUCUUAUGUUCUUACAAUAGAUCGUUUUAAAUCUGAUUAGGAAGGGUAAUGAUAGUAGUUUACCAACUUCACAUACCCUGUUUCUCCCCCGCCCCUGAACAUACAUACAUUCCUAUAACUCAAGAACAGCUUUGAUUUGGAAGCCCAUAUUUAGGAAGUUAUUAGUCUAUAAUGUGGAGUCAUUUGUUUGUUUGCUAUUUUUUAAUUGUAAACUGUUUUAAAAAGUGGCUAGAAAGACAUGACAAGCAGCACACAAGAGCCAAUUCCCGCUUUCUCCCAUGAACAUGCAGUUCCUUAUUGUCUUCAAGGGGAAUUGUGCAUGCAUAUGUGAGGAUAGAACUUGGCCCUAUAUAAAGUUCAGAUUCCUCUGGAUUUCCAGCAUCUGGACGCAAGAAAAACUGCAAGGUCUGUGAAUGCUGAAGUUUCUCUGGCUAGGUACUUAAGAGCUCUGAAGGAAGGGGGAAAAAAAGAAAAAAAUUAAAAACACCCUAUGCUGUUUUCCUAAUUCUGAGAUGAAAUGAUGCUUUAUUAGGGAACACUAUUGAAACUUAUUUGUAAACACUUGAUAAUACAAGGGACUAUUUUGUGUUUGUCUUUUUAUUUUUUGCAACAAAUGGUUGAAUUGCAUUUUAGAUGCAAUAUAAAGAGAAAGCAGUUUAAUAGUUAAAGAGCAAGUCAUUCAAAGGAGUUUGAGGGGUUUUAUAGUUCUAUGUUCAUGCAAAAAAAUUAAAUAUAUUCUGUACACUUCUAAUUUGUUGGUUUCACAUUGAGUGGCAAACAGAGGUAUGUAAUGUUUAACCAUUAUCGAACCAUUGAUCACGUCAAACAGAUAUGAAAUCUGCAGGCUUCUUUGAAAGAAAAGGACGGUUGAUAGCAAUGGGUGUAUUUCUCCUUUUAAAGACUGUCUUGGGGCAUAGUGUGUGUGUGUGUGUGUGUGUGUGUGUAUGUGUGUGUGUGUGUGUGUGUGUGUGUGUAAGAGUGAGAAUGAGAGCUGGGAAUUGUAAAAAAAAUUGUAAAGUAGAAAAGGACAUGUUUCUUAGACGAAGGACAAAUACUGUAAAAUUGUGUAAAUGUCACUACUCAUGUUUUCUCAUGUUGUGUGUAGCAUAGUGUAAAAUAGGCUUUUCAGCAGUGUUAUUCUGUGAAUUGUAAUUUAAAAACAAGCCAUGCAUGGUCAAAGAUAUUAUCUACAGGUCCUUUUUCAUUUGUUUGUUUUUCUCAUUUUAGGUAAAGAUGUUUUGUUAUAUGUUAAAUUUAAUUGUCCAUGAAACUGCUUUUUGUUUCUCAGUUUUACUUCAUAAAUAACUUGAAUUACUGUUUAAGAAUUUACUACACACAAGCACUCCUUCAUUUGUAUCCAUCCUUAGGAAGCUUUGUCACUACAUUGAGUAUAACCCAGGGGAUUUUCCUUUUUAACACACCCCUCUUUUGCCUCUCCUCCCCCACUCCAUCCCUUCCUCACAUUCUAGAAAAUGCAGUCUCUCUUUUUUCCGUGCCAUGCAGGGUCAACAUGAGAAACUGACCUCAGACCUGUGUCCAAAAUUUCUUGAUAUAAGUAGUAACAAAGCUCACCUCUACAGCAUUAUGUAAACACAUCUUGCAAUAAAGCUUUCUAAAGCAC
This is a non-coding RNA of Chrysemys picta bellii (western painted turtle), 1731 nucleotides long. Lineage: Eukaryota; Metazoa; Chordata; Testudines; Emydidae. The record is from RefSeq and is a predicted model, not a curated record.